Molecule: ribosomal RNA, 200 nt
Filed under: uncultured bacterium
Lineage: Bacteria
Description: partial 16S ribosomal RNA
Rfam family: Bacterial small subunit ribosomal RNA
Source: RNAcentral
AGCGAACGCUGGCGGCAGGCCUAACACAUGCAAGUCGAACGGACCCUUCGGGGUUAGUGGCGGACGGGUGAGUAACACGUGGGAACGUGCCCUUAGGUUCGGAAUAGCUCCUGGAAACGGGUGGUAAUGCCGAACGUGCCCUUCGGGGGAAAGAUUUAUCGCCUUUAGCGCGGCCCGCGUCUGAUUAGCUUGUUGGUGAG